This 2495-nucleotide long non-coding RNA is filed under the name Olea europaea subsp. europaea. The record is from RNAcentral. Lineage: Eukaryota; Viridiplantae; Streptophyta; Magnoliopsida; Lamiales; Oleaceae.
CCCUAUUCCCUUACAUGAAAAAAACCCCAAAUCAGAGAAACUUCGACGGCGACAGAAACACACUAAACUUCAGAUUCUCCCACAUGACGAGAUGAAAAUGCCGGUGCCCAAUAUAUCAAUCAUCUAUAUGCUUGAGGUUCCCACCUUCAGUUGAUCGUUUGCUUCUUUCAUAUGUUGAAUCCGCAAGGUAAAAUCUCCACCGUAUUUAGGAAGAGUGUCCAUCUCCGACGCAGUUGCCUAUAGUUGGUAUGAAGAAAACCUUGUAUUUUAUUGUUCUCGAUUAACGACGGUAAAACCCAAAUUGUCAAUGUGAGUGUGCGUGUGUGUGUGUGUUUCAUUAUUUCUUAAAACCAAAUUGGAAAAAGAAAAGUAAUGGAGUUUGUGUGCAUUUCAUUAUUUUUUAAAAUUUAGUUGUUCAUGUGUUAGAAUGACAGGAAAAAUUUCGGAAUCUGCCAUAGCUGUAGAGAAAAGAGGCACUUCUUUAUUGAUUGCCCUAACAAACGACGAUGCCCCUCUGUAGACAUGGCUUUGUCAAGUGCCUUGAGGUUGAAAGGGAGACGAAGAACAAGGAAAAGUUGUACAAUUGCUACAGUGCUCACUGUAGAUACUGGGAAUGGGUCGAACUAGGAUAAUCAAGCGGCGAGUCUAGUACUGUUACCAUUAACUCGAAUAACUCAACAGCACUUGAAGAAGUUCAACAAAUAACUCACACGUUCCAAUCUCUUUGCUAGGAAGUGGAAGAACAAGACACCACCUAUGCCUGGUGUUUGGACAAACGAUUUAAAUUGCAUUUUGCAUGAUCUUAUCUUGAUCGGUAAUAAUUCCCUUGGGAGCUUGGUCAUGCAUGCACUGAAGUCAAGUCUUGAAAAGCCACACAAAUGUUUCUGAACUUUCGUUCGACAACGAACCACAACUGAGUAGCAUUGAUUGUCCGUGAUAAUUAAACCCAACAAAAAGACGCGAAUGACAUGUCAUACUUGUUAGCUAGGUACAUGGUAUCAAAUGUUACAACAUUAUCGAACUCUUUAUAUGCUUGCCUACUCCUAUUAUCAGUUCAAAAAAUAUUCCUCAACCCGCGACUCCUCAUCUAAAUCCAUACUAAAGUAAAAACCCGAACAUCUUGCUUGCAUGUUCGAAAAGCAGGCUUGUAUUGCUGCGGUAUCUCCGUCUCUAAGUCUUAACUGCCUNACUUGUUCAACAUAGUUUCAACAAUCCUUUUCUAUUCAAGUAAUGUUUUCGUACCCAUCCACUUCUACGACUGCAGCAUUGUGAGGAAUCCCUACCAUAUCGUUCAUUUCAAGCCAUCAUUUGACAUGGGCACUCAACACUCAGUUGCAACGAUACAACCUUGACUUCGAAGGACUUGUUCUGUAAUUGCGAAUGAGAUUGACUGUGUUAAUUCUCCAUAUUCCAUAUGCAUCUACAGAAGCAAUAAUUCUGGCUUUACAACUUGUCUGAAUGGUAACGUGUGGCUUCAAAGAACCACUUGUAUUUCUGCUUCUUCGUCCUUCGCAGCUACAUGUGAACACAACAUAUUUGACAACUCCAUCAUCAUCCUUUUGCGAAUUUCUUUUUCUAAUUGGAAACCCUACGUCAUACGCAUGUCUUUUGUAAAAAUGAAAUAUUUCUUUUUCAUCGUUGAACUCCAUACCCACAUCGAGCAUGGUUGCACCAUCUACUCCUAUAAUCCUAUCGCCCACUCCAUCUACUCCUACUAUUCCAUCCAUUACCAAGUUGACACUGUCCAAAAUAUCCUCAUUAUCGAAUUCUAGCGAAAUAUGUCCAUCCACAUCUUUCGAACUUUUAUUCAUUGCAAUAAAUAACCAAUUAAAGAAUGUUAAAACUAAUUCACAUAACUAAUUUUUUUAAUCAGGGCAAAUACAUCUCCAACAAAACCCCACCAAUUUUCCAUUAACCUAUUGAUGAAAAUUUGCAUUUAUAAAACGCACCUACACUAUCUCCCCCACAUAGUACACAGCCAGUAAAUUCACAUCCAUUCUCACAUUAACAGUAAGAAAGGGAAAUAUGGGAUGGAACAAAACCACACCUUUGUCUGUCAUCUCUUCAAAUCUAUUACAUCCGAUUCCCGUGGAAUAUCACCUCAGGGUUGGGUGGCCAACAGCAACUAAAUGUGGGAUGGGCAUCCGGCGCAGACAGUUUCACCUUCAGUUUCGUCGAUCACUAAAAACCUCUUUCAAACUUUCAAUUAUUUUGGUCUGGAAUGAAACCCGCUAUUUGUUUAUGAUGGAAGAUUAUUUGGGGUGGCGGCGACGAAAUAUGGGAUGGGCUGGCAAAUCAGACAGUCUCACACAUAGCUUCGUCAACCAUCGGAAUGAAUGGAAGAUUAAUUGGGGCGGGUUAUGUUUUCAAUUAUUUGGGGUGGUUUGGCGGGUUACAUUUGCCAUUAUUUGGGUGGUUUCUUGCUUUUUGCUUUUUCUUUCCCCUCCUAUAGUUACUUUCCACGUCAGCGUGUAAGGUAGAGUGUAAAAUGGAAG